Molecule: ribosomal RNA, 449 nt
Filed under: uncultured bacterium
Lineage: Bacteria
Description: bacterial SSU rRNA
Rfam family: Bacterial small subunit ribosomal RNA
Source: RNAcentral
GUGGGGAAUUUUGCGCAAUGGGGGAAACCCUGACGCAGCAACGCCGCGUGGGUGAUGAAGGCUUUCGGGUCGUAAAGCCCUGUCGGAUGGAACGAACCGACUAGUGCUAAUACCACUAGUCCUGACGGUACUAUCAAAGGAAGUCACGGCUAACUCUGUGCCAGCAGCCGCGGUAAUACAGAGGUGACAAGCGUUGUUCGGAAUUAUUGGGCGUAAAGCGAGUGUAGGCGGCUUGUUAAGUCAGAUGUGAAAGCCCAGGGCUUAACCCUGGAAGUGCAUUUGAAACUGGCAGGCUUGAGUACGGGAGAGGGUAGUGGAAUUCCGAGUGUAGAGGUGAAAUUCGUAGAUAUUCGGAGGAACACCGGUGGCGAAGGCGGCUACCUGGACCGAUACUGACGCUGAGACUCGAAAGCGUGGGGAGCAAACAGGAUUAGAAACCCCUGUAGUCC